GACGAACGCUGGCGGCGUGCUUAACACAUGCAAGUCGAACGGAAAGGCCCUGCUUUUGUGGGGUGCUCGAGUGGCGAACGGGUGAGUAACACGUGAGUAACCUGCCCUUGACUUUGGGAUAACUUCAGGAAACUGGGGCAAAUACGGGAUGGGACUUCUGCCGGCUGGGUGGGGGUGGGAAAGUUCGGGGGGUGGGGAUGGACCCGCGGCUUAUCAGCUUGUUGGUGGGGUAGUGGCUUACCAAGGCUUUGACGGGUAGCCGGCCUGAGAGGGGGACCGGCCACAUUGGGACUGAGAUACGGCCCAGACUCCUACGGGAGGCAGCAGUGGGGAAUAUUGCACAAUGGGCGGAAGCCUGAUGCAGCAACGCCGCGUGCGGGAUGACGGCCUUCGGGUUGUAAACCGCUUUCGCCUGUGACGAAGCGUGAGUGACGGUAAUGGGUAAAGAAGCACCGGCUAACUACGUG
RNAcentral lists this ribosomal RNA (467 nucleotides) under uncultured bacterium. RNAcentral describes it as "partial 16S ribosomal RNA". It matches the Rfam family "Bacterial small subunit ribosomal RNA", at positions 28 to 507 of the family's 1533-position model. The record is from RNAcentral.